This is an RNA transcript of Manihot esculenta (cassava), 2435 nucleotides long. RefSeq lists it as uncharacterized. Lineage: Eukaryota; Viridiplantae; Streptophyta; Magnoliopsida; Malpighiales; Euphorbiaceae. The record is from RefSeq and is a predicted model, not a curated record. The transcript is spliced from 4 exons.
AGGCAACCGUGCGACCACCCCAGCCACAUGUGACUGAGAACGAUCCUCUACAGCUCACGAACCCCAAAGGAUCCUUAGCCAUUAUUCACGCUCAGAUCGAACGGCCAUGCUUCAUCUUCCAGACUGUGGUUCCUGUCUCCUUCGUGCUAAAGGACACAGAGGUACGAUCCUAUAGAACAGAUCCUGUUCAAGUAAGGUCGUGCCUUUGUCACCUAACCUCACUUAUUAGAUGGGCUGCUUCGUUCUAUCAACUUUCCGAUGUGGGAUUGCAAGUCGCUUCCUUCAAGGCUUAAAUCGUCUUUUCGACACGUAAAGGCAAUUGUGGCACGCGUCUCUCACAUGACAAAAGCCGGCGAUAUCAGUAUUUGUUAAAUAAUUCAAUUAUCAAGCUUCCAAAAAUAAAAUAGCAGCACAGACUCCCAGUCCCCAGAGAGGAAGAAAGCUGGUUCAGGAGAUAUUCUUCUUCUUUUUCUUCGUGCUUGUUAGAGAGAUCCGAUUAGGUUCCUCUGGUUACUCUAACGUUAAGCGUGAAUCAAAUUUAGAUCACCGACAGAGAGAGAGAGUGAGAGAGAGAGAAUGGGAGGGUAUGCUUUGGGGUUGGCUUUUGAUUUGAAAUCAGGGCAGAUGAUAAUGGUGGCUUUAUUAUUAAUGGUGGGUUCUUUCUACUUGGGCACUCUAUUUGGCAACAAUGCUCCCGUUUAUGUCUCUCAAUUCUCCUCUAAUUCCUCUUCCUCUUCAUUUCCUGAUAUGUGCACAUUUAGCAGCAAAAUUGCUCGCAUCUAACUGAAAAUGGGAUGAAUAUAUGCCCCCUGAAGUUUAAUGAGUAAAUCCCUUGCCAUGAUGUUCCCCAAGUGAAAAGUCUACUCCCAAGCUUAGAUCUUUCUUGAAAAGAAGAGCUGGAGAGGCGUUGCCCUCCACCUGAAAAGCGUCUACUUCUGCUUGGUGCCACCCCAGAAGAUUAUAAAUUGCCAACCAGCUGGAAUCAUGUUUGGCAAAGCAAUGUGAAUCAGACACGUCUUGCUGCAGUCAAAGGAAUUGGGUGCAUGAAAAGGAUCAAUUGCGGUGGUUCGCAGGAGGCGAUAAUAAUUUCAAAAUUCAAAGCAUGGGGCACCUGAGUACAUUCGGAGGUUGGAACUAUGACGACUAAUGAAACUGGUGAUCUACUGUCAGCUGGGGUUGUUGAAGUUAAGGAUGUUGGGCUGCGUGUUUGCUGGCUUCUCUGGUUGUCUCCUUCCCUUGGAAAUACAAACAUGUCUUUUUCUCCCAAAGAUGAUUCUUAUUUUUGUUUUGUUUUGGAAUUGAAGAAACUGCAGUUCAAACUGAUUGUACUUUGGGUUCAAUUUGAUUUCUGAUAUAUAUUUUUUAUUUUCUUUUAAUUUUGUAUGUCCUAAAUAUAUAUAUAUAUAUAUAUAUUAUUUGAAUUAUUUCUAUUUCAAAUUCUUGAUAUGUUUUUGUUUCAGACACCAUAUCUUCUGAUCUAUUUCUUGGUGCAGCUAUACUGUCUGAUCUAUUUCUUGGUGCAGCUAUACACUUUUGAAGAUCGCCGAAAUUGCCGUGAGGCCUGAACUCACUCCCUCUCUAGCAAGACUAGUAAUACAGAAGGGGUGCUGAAAAUUGUAAUCUGUUAGUGAUUGGCUGCUUUUAAUUUGAAAUAGCAUGCAAGGCUUUUUUCUUAUGCUUAUUCUUUAUAUCCUUCUCCUUGUCAAUGCUUUUUUGAUAUGACAAAUUUGAUGCACAAAACCCUUUUAAGUGUUCAUACGUUUAUUUUCCUAUGAUUUUUUAUAUUCAGGUGUAGGUUCGGAAUUUGAUCUCUAUGUUUUUUUUGGUUCAGAAAAUCAGUACCCCUUCCGCUGAAAUGGUUUGCUAUUGGUCAGUGCUGGCGAUAUGAGAGGAUGACAAGGGGUCGUCGUCGAGAGCACUACCAAUGGAAUAUGGAUAUUGUUGGUGUACCCGAAGUCACAGUGUAUUAUGCAGCUUAUUAAUGAUGGACGAUUGGCUAAUAAAUGCGGAGCCAGCUAGUUCAUAUUCUAUUUAUCAUCUGCAUCAUUUCAGUCCAUUUCACUACAUGCGCAUUUAUGACCUUGAUGAUGUACUGAAGAGGCGAUUAGCAUGUUGGAGGUCGGCGUCUUUCCCUAGUUUUAUUAGGUCAUGCCCGGCUCACCCAGUCUGUAUUGAGGUGGGUCUCUCCUGGUUACUUAUGAUUUAUUAGGCUUCCAUCCAAUAUCGUGCCUUAAAAAAAUCUGUCCAUCUAUUUUAGGCUUUGAUAGGGUCAGAGGUAUUGUUCUGAUCUUUAUAUUUCUUAGGUCGAGUUUUCUGAUGCUCGGUCGGACUAAAUGGUGAGCUUCAUGGAACAUUUCUAAAUCUCGUGUACACGUGUGGUGAUCUAAACGGGUUUUAUUAUUCAUAUAUUAUCAAAGAGUAAUGUUCGGAAUUUA